CUUAAAUGAAUUGACGGGGCCCGCACAAGCGGUGGAGCAUGUGGUUAAUUCGACGCAACGCGAAGAACCUUACCAGGGCUUGACAUCCCCUGACCGCGUAUGAAAGUACGUUUUCACCCUCGGGUGACAGGGAGACAGGUGGUGCAUGGUUGUCGUCAGCUCGUGUCGUGAGAUGUUGGGUUAAGUCCCGCAACGAGCGCAACCCCUACGUUUAGUUGCUAACGCGUGAAGGCGAGCACUCUAGACGAACUGCCGUUGACAAAACGGAGGAAGGUGGGAUGACGUCAAAUCAUCAUGCCCCUUAUGUUCUGGGCUACACACGUGCUACAAUGGCCGGUACAGACGGACGCAAAGCCGCGAGGUGGAGCAAAUCCUAAAAAGCCGGUCUCAGUUCGGAUUGCAGGCUGCAAUUCGCCUGCAUGAAGUCGGAAUCGCUAGUAAUCGCAGGUCAGCAUACUGCGGUGAAUACGUUCCCGGGCCUU
RNAcentral lists this ribosomal RNA (482 nucleotides) under uncultured Pelotomaculum sp. RNAcentral's name for it is "bacterial SSU rRNA". It matches the Rfam family "Bacterial small subunit ribosomal RNA", at positions 900 to 1382 of the family's 1533-position model. The record is from RNAcentral. Lineage: Bacteria; Bacillati; Bacillota; Clostridia; Eubacteriales; Desulfotomaculaceae.